UAUAUACCUGAAUACUUGUUUUAAAAACAGUGCUCACAGCGACACAUAGAAAAAGCCACAACAAUCAUGACCUUAGGGAAAAACUAUAAGCCGAACUAAACUUUUCAUAACUCAUUUUACAGUUGAGCACGUUCAAGUGGCCACCUCCCCGUGGACACAACAUCAAGCAUGCGCCAUGUUAUCAACGCUUAAAGCAUAUUUUAGCCACACACUUAAUUACCCGAAGGCCCAAGUUGGAAAAAGCUGAAGCUGUUGUGCCCCCAUCUACCCAUCUAAAAUGCAACAAAUGGAAGCCUCGGUGGCAACAAGAACAACGAUCAACCAGCAAAUGCCCUGCAAAGUGUCGAUAAUUACCUGUAAAAGUUUGAGCCAAACCAUUAGCAGCAUAAUGAGGCCUGUCUAGCAUAGAUUUCCCAGUCGGACCAAAGCAACCGUUACUAUCGUGUGGCGCAUUUGGAAAUCCCUCUGUCCCUCGCCCCAAAUGAAACAAAAAACGUGAAGCAGAGCGAGUUGAAGAGGGGCAGCAAAGAAAGGAGAAAAAAAUAGCAAAUACCGAAACACAACUAAAACUUUCACCCAUUUGAACUUGGGAGCUAAAAUUGGGAGUGGGAAGGGAGCCGGAGGAAACGUGGAUCUAGAGUAAAAAUAAUGGCAACAACCACACUUGACUGGCGUUGAGUGGUUCAUAAUUAAAGGGGAAAACCUCAAAAAAGCCUUGAACUCAUUCAACUGGCUGUGGCUGCAUUGCGUGCAGUUUGGCCCGAAAGUUGGCCAAGUUGCUCUGGCCGCACAAUUGUUGCACGCACACAGUCCACAGACCACAGUCAAGUGGAGUGGAAAAAUGCCGAUGGGCGUGUCCAUCCUUCCAGUGGGGAAGGCCAAAUGCACUAGGAAAAUUUGUAAGAAAUGUUUUGGAAACUUAUAAAACCAGAAAUAUGUAUUUUAAUAACCAAACUUAAUUUUUGUACAUGAUUGUAGUAAUUUAUAGAACUGAACAGAUCGGGCGAAUACGUAAUUAUAAUUCUUGAAUUAAAGGAAACUCUUACUUUUGAAACUUAA
This is a long non-coding RNA of Drosophila yakuba, 1059 nucleotides long. RefSeq lists it as uncharacterized. The transcript is spliced from 2 exons. Lineage: Eukaryota; Metazoa; Arthropoda; Insecta; Diptera; Drosophilidae. The record is from RefSeq and is a predicted model, not a curated record.